Hibiscus syriacus is the source of this 157-nucleotide small nuclear RNA. RefSeq annotates it as U1 spliceosomal RNA. The transcript has a single exon. The record is from RefSeq and is a predicted model, not a curated record. NCBI's taxonomy places the organism in Eukaryota, Viridiplantae, Streptophyta, Magnoliopsida, Malvales, Malvaceae.
AUCCUUACCUGGAUGGGGUCAAUGUGCGAUCAAAAAGACUCAUGGCCUAGGACAGUGACCUCCAUUGCACUUGGGAGGGGUAUUGCUCUAAGGUCUCCCCAAAAUAUAUAUUAUUUAAAAGUGUUAAUGGAUUGGGUACUUGUUUCGACUGCACAUU